RNAcentral lists this ribosomal RNA (253 nucleotides) under uncultured bacterium. RNAcentral's name for it is "partial 16S ribosomal RNA". It matches the Rfam family "Bacterial small subunit ribosomal RNA", at positions 524 to 776 of the family's 1533-position model. The record is from RNAcentral.
UACGUAGGGACCGAGCGUUGUCCGGAAUCAUUGGGCGUAAAGAGCGUGUAGGCGGCCACUUAAGUCCUGCGUGAAAUCUUGCGGCUCAACCGCAAGCGGUCGUGGGAAACUGGGUGGCUAGAGUGCGGGAGAGGAGAGUGGAAUUCCUGGUGUAGCGGUGGAAUGCGCAGAUAUCAGGAAGAACACCCGUGGCGAAGGCACCAUCCUGGGAAGCAUCUGACGCUCAGGUGCGAAAGCUAGGGGAGCGAACGGG